Molecule: transfer RNA, 26 nt
Filed under: Cecropia pachystachya
Lineage: Eukaryota; Viridiplantae; Streptophyta; Magnoliopsida; Rosales; Urticaceae
Description: partial tRNA-Leu
Source: RNAcentral
UUUUGGUUCAAGUCCCUCUAUCCCCA